RNAcentral lists this transfer RNA (75 nucleotides) under Candidatus Nanoarchaeia archaeon. Its description in RNAcentral is "tRNA-Ala". Lineage: Archaea; Nanobdellati; Nanobdellota; Candidatus Nanoarchaeia. The record is from RNAcentral.
GGGCCGGUAAUUCAACCUGGCUAGAAUGCUCGGCUGGCAGUCGAGAUGCUCCGCGUUCAAAUCGCGGCCGGUCCA